UCGGGAAUUUUGGGCAAUGGGGGAAACCCUGACCCAGCAACGCCGCGUGAAGGAUGAAGUAUUUCGGUAUGUAAACUUCGAAAGAAUAGGAAGAAUAAAUGACGGUACUAUUUAUAAGGUCCGGCUAACUACGUGCCAGCAGCCGCGGUAAUACGUAGGGACCAAGCGUUGUUCGGAUUUACUGGGCGUAAAGGGCGCGUAGGCGGCAUGACAAGUCACUUGUGAACUCUCUGGGCUUAACCCAGAACGGCCAAGUGAUACUGUCGCGCUAGAGUGCAGAAGGGGCAAUCGGAAUUCUUGGUGUAGCGGUGAAAUGCGUAGAUAUCAAGAGGAACACCUGAGGUGAAGACGGGUUGCUGGGCUGACACUGACGCUGAGGCGCGAAAGCUAGGGUAGCAAACGGGAUUAGAUACCCCUGUAGUCCCUGAGCGGGCUGGCAAGGCGCAU
Molecule: ribosomal RNA, 447 nt
Filed under: uncultured bacterium
Lineage: Bacteria
Description: bacterial SSU rRNA
Rfam family: Bacterial small subunit ribosomal RNA
Source: RNAcentral